GACGAACGCUGGCGGCGUGCCUAAUACAUGCAAGUUGAGCGCUGAAGGUUGGUACUUGUACCAACUGGAUGAGCAGCGAACGGGUGAGUAACGCGUGGGGAAUCUGCCUUUGAGCGGGGGACAACAUUUGGAAACGAAUGCUAAUACCGCAUAAAAACUUUAAACACAAGUUUUAAGUUUGAAAGAUGCAAUUGCAUCACUCAAAGAUGAUCCCGCGUUGUAUUAGCUAGUUGGUGAGGUAAAGGCUCACCAAGGCGAUGAUACAUAGCCGACCUGAGAAGGUGAACGGCCAAAGUGGGACUGAGACACGGCCCAAACACCUACGGGAGGCAGCAGUAGGGAAUCUUCGGCAAUGGACGAAAGUCUGACCGAGCAACGCCGCGUGAGUGAAGAAGGUUUUCGGAUCGUAAAACUCUGUUGGUAGAGAAGAACGUUGGUGAGAGUGGAAAGCUCAUCAAGUGACGGUAACUACCCAGAAAGGGACGGCUAACUACGUG
This 497-nucleotide ribosomal RNA is filed under the name uncultured bacterium. Its description in RNAcentral is "partial 16S ribosomal RNA". It matches the Rfam family "Bacterial small subunit ribosomal RNA", at positions 28 to 507 of the family's 1533-position model. The record is from RNAcentral.